This 408-nucleotide ribosomal RNA is filed under the name uncultured bacterium. RNAcentral describes it as "partial 16S ribosomal RNA". It matches the Rfam family "Bacterial small subunit ribosomal RNA", at positions 28 to 526 of the family's 1533-position model. The record is from RNAcentral.
GACGAACGCUGGCGGCGUGCUUAACACAUGCAAGUCGAACGAAGUGGCGGACGGGUGAGUAACGCGUAAUCAACCUGCCCUUCAGAGGGGGACAACAGUUUGAAACUACUGCUCAUACCGCAUACGGAAGGAGGGGAUUCGGUCUGAUUAGCUAGUUGGUGGGGUAAGGGCCCACCAAGGCGAUGAUCAUGAGCCGGGCUGAGAGGAGGAACGGCCACAUUUGGACUGAGACACGGCCCAGACUCCUACGGGAGGCAGCAGUGGGGAAUCUUCCGCAAUGGACGAAAGGCUGACGGAGCAACGCCGCGUGAGGGAUGACGGCCUUCGGGUUGUAAAGCUCUGUUAAUCGGGACGCGGUACCGGAAUAGAAAGCCACGGCUAACUACGUGCCAGCAGCCGCGGUAAUUC